AGUCCACAUCGACGGGGAGGUUUGGCACCUCGAUGUCGGCUCAUCACAUCCUGGGGCUGUAGUAGGUCCCAAGGGUUGGGCUGUUCGCCCAUUAAAGUGGUACGCGAGCUGGGUUCAGAACGUCGUGAGCCAGUUCGGUCCCUAUCCGUCGCAGGCGUAGGAAAUUUGAGAAGACCUGUCCUUAGUACGAGAGGACCGGGAUGGACGUACCUCUGGUGUACCAGUUGUUCUGCCAAGGGCAUGGCUGGGUAGCUAUGUACGGAAUGGAUAAGCGCUGAAAGCAUCUAAGCGCGAAGCCAACUUCAAGAUAAGAUUUCCCACCGCAAGGGUAAGACCCCAGAAAGACUAUCUGGUUG
RNAcentral lists this ribosomal RNA (356 nucleotides) under Clostridioides difficile. RNAcentral's name for it is "bacterial LSU rRNA". It matches the Rfam family "Bacterial large subunit ribosomal RNA", at positions 2497 to 2855 of the family's 2925-position model. Lineage: Bacteria; Bacillati; Bacillota; Clostridia; Peptostreptococcales; Peptostreptococcaceae. The record is from RNAcentral.